CAAGAGAAAACUAUCUCUAACACUGUUGCAGACCGCAGAGCAGGAAAUGUUGCGUACUUUGAACUGGCCCCAGAUCUGCUUCACAAGCUUCUGUGUUGAGUAACAUCUCUAACGUUACUCGCAGGACAAAGUUACUGACAAAAUAUGGGAGCUUUACUUGCAAACCCAUGUGAGAUUGCUGUAUGAUUCAUCUGCUCCAUGAAAAUGACCACCUCUGCAGAU
This 222-nucleotide long non-coding RNA is filed under the name Sinocyclocheilus grahami. Its description in RNAcentral is "lncRNA (ENSSGRG00000004790.1)". Lineage: Eukaryota; Metazoa; Chordata; Actinopteri; Cypriniformes; Cyprinidae. The record is from RNAcentral.